GUGGGGAAUUUUGGACAAUGGGCGCAAGCCUGAUCCAGCAAUGCCGCGUGCAGGAAGAAGGCCUUCGGGUUGUAAACUGCUUUUGUACGGAACGAAACGGUCCGGGUUAAUACCCUGGGCUAAUGACGGUACCGUAAGAAUAAGCACCGGCUAACUACGUGCCAGCAGCCGCGGUAAUACGUAGGGUGCAAGCGUUAAUCGGAAUUACUGGGCGUAAAGCGUUCGCAGGCGGUUUUGUAAGACAGGCGUGAAAUCCCCGGGCUCAACCUGGGAAUUGCGCUUGGGACUGCAAGGCUGGAGUGCGGCAGAGGGGGAUGGAAUUCCGCGUGUAGCAGUGAAAUGCGUAGAUAUGCGGAGGAACACCGAUGGCGAAGGCAAUCCCCUGGGCCUGCACUGACGCUCAUGCACGAAAGCGUGGGGAGCAAACAGGAUUAGAAACCCUUGUAGUCC
This 450-nucleotide ribosomal RNA is filed under the name uncultured bacterium. Its description in RNAcentral is "partial 16S ribosomal RNA". It matches the Rfam family "Bacterial small subunit ribosomal RNA", at positions 354 to 796 of the family's 1533-position model. The record is from RNAcentral.